GCUGGGUGUGGUGGUGCACACCUGUAAUCCCAGCUGCUCAGGAGGCUGAGGCAGGAGAAUGGCUUGAACCCGGGAGGCGGAGGUUGCAGUGAGCUGAGAUCCUGCCACUGCACUCCAGCCUGGGUGACAGAGUGAGACCCCGUCUCAA
Pongo abelii (Sumatran orangutan) is the source of this 148-nucleotide unclassified non-coding RNA. It matches the Rfam family "Metazoan signal recognition particle RNA". Rfam says of the family: The signal recognition particle (SRP) is a universally conserved ribonucleoprotein. It is involved in the co-translational targeting of proteins to membranes. The eukaryotic SRP consists of a 300-nucleotide 7S RNA and six proteins: SRPs 72, 68, 54, 19, 14, and 9. NCBI's taxonomy places the organism in Eukaryota, Metazoa, Chordata, Mammalia, Primates, Hominidae. The record is from Ensembl.